RNAcentral lists this ribosomal RNA (254 nucleotides) under uncultured bacterium. RNAcentral describes it as "partial 16S ribosomal RNA". It matches the Rfam family "Bacterial small subunit ribosomal RNA", at positions 524 to 776 of the family's 1533-position model. The record is from RNAcentral.
GACGGAGGGUGCUAGCGUUGUUCGGGAUCACUGGGCGUAAAGGGCGCGUAGGCGGCCCAUGCCGUCGGCUCGUGAAAGCCCGGGGCUCAACCCCGGAGGUGCGGCCGAGACCCAUGGGCUGGAGGCCGGAAGAGGAGGGUGGAAUACCCAGUGUAGAGGUGAAAUUCGUAGAUAAUGGGUGGAACACCGGUGGCGAAAGCGGCUCUCUGGUCCGGUUCUGACGCUGAGGCGCGAAAGCGUGGGGUGCAAACAGG